The submitters of this non-coding RNA (87 nucleotides) gave its source as unclassified sequences. The record is from Rfam.
GUCCGGCUGCGCGGUUUACGCAGGCCGGGCGAAUCUGUACGACGCCGCCCGGAACGACACGGGGCGGCACAGAUCCAUAAAGGAGGA